RNAcentral lists this ribosomal RNA (395 nucleotides) under uncultured bacterium. RNAcentral's name for it is "bacterial SSU rRNA". It matches the Rfam family "Bacterial small subunit ribosomal RNA", at positions 30 to 424 of the family's 1533-position model. The record is from RNAcentral.
AUUGAACGCUGGCGGCAUGCCUUACACAUGCAAGUCGAACGGCAGCACGGGAGCAAUCCUGGUGGCGAGUGGCGAACGGGUGAGUAAUAUAUCGGAACGUGCCCAGUCGUGGGGGAUAACGUAGCGAAAGCUACGCUAAUACCGCAUACGAUCUAUGGAUGAAAGCGGGGGAUCGCAAGACCUCGCGCGAUUGGAGCGGCCGAUAUCAGAUUAGGUAGUUGGUGAGGUAAAGGCUCACCAAGCCGACGAUCUGUAGCUGGUCUGAGAGGACGACCAGCCACACUGGGACUGAGACACGGCCCAGACUCCUACGGGAGGCAGCAGUGGGGGAAUUUUUGGACAAAUGGGCGCAAGCCUGAUCCAGCAAUGCCGCGUGCAGGAUGAAGGCCUCGGUU